AAACCUUUUGACUAAGAUCAAGUGUAGUGUCUGUUCUUACCAGUUUAAUGUCUGAUAUGUCCUCUAUCUGAGGACAAUAUAUUAAAUGGAUUUUUGGAGCAGGGAGUUGGAAUAGGAGCUUGCUCCAUCCACUCCACGCAUUGAAAAAUAAAAAUAAAAAAGAAAAUCCACCACUGUGCUUUUUAU
Otolemur garnettii (small-eared galago) is the source of this 186-nucleotide non-coding RNA. Lineage: Eukaryota; Metazoa; Chordata; Mammalia; Primates; Galagidae. The record is from Rfam.